UGAGUCGUUAUACAUAUAGAUAGAGUCGAACGGAGAAAAUGAAAAAUAGCCGUUCGAAUUUCGAAGAGCGUUUGGGUCUUCUUCUUCUCUCGCUUCAUGAACAGAACAUGUUUCGGGAUAAAACCCUAAAUUUCCGCUGCUCUCGCUUCUAUGGACGCAUCCUCCGAUAAGUAAGAUCAUUUGUUCAUGUGUCUUCUGGGAAUCUUUGGUACCAAAACAAGUCAGUUUUAUGUCUUUAUUAUUUAUUUAUUCAAGGUAUAUCCUCUUCUUCUUGUUGGUCUUUUGAGUUUGUUUCUACAGAUUGAUGUUGUGUCUCUUUUCUUUUGCAGCUCAUCUCAGAAACCAGAGAAUGGUAUAUAGGUUUUGCAUACUUGAUUUCACAAUUCACUCUUACUUAAAUGUUUCAUUGUUUAUCUACUUUCAUUCUUUGUCUGCUUUUGUUUUGGUUACUAACUUCCUUUGUACUUACUUUCUUUCUUCCUUACUUUCUUACUUGCCUACUUAUUUUUUUAGUCAUGGCUUAGUUGCGAGCUUCCUUACUUUCUUUCUUCUUUGGUUACAUGCGUGUAUUUGCUUCCUUCCUUUCCUUUCCUUGGUUGUAUGCUUUAUUUUCUUCCUUGAUUUCUCUGUUUCUUGCUGAGUUGUGUGCUUUAUUACUUGUUCCUUGAGAUUCGUAAUAUAUUUGCUUGCUUGCUUCCUCACUUUCUUUCUUGCUUGCUUCCGUUUUUUUUAUUUUUGUAAUUCAUUGCUCAGUUGCUAUGCUUUCAUUCCUUGGUUCCUUGUGUGCUUGCUUUUCAUUCCUUGGUUCCUUGUGUGCUUGCUUUCUUUUCUUGUUCUCUUCCUUGAUUACUUGUUCUUUGCUGAGUUGUGUGCUUCAUUACUUGCUUCCUUGAUUCCUUGAUUUGCUGAAUAUUUUCUUACUUGUUUCCUUACUUAUUUUGCUUACUUUCUUCCUUGAGUAUUUCCUUUUUUUCUUACUUGCUUAAUUGUUAUUUUGUGACUUAUUUAAGUUUUUCUUACUUCCAUACUCAUAACUAACUCUCUAGAUUGAUUUCUCAUUGUAUUAGAGAGUUUUAGGUUACUACUUGAAAACAAUAUACAGAUGGAGACUCUUGAACAUCUAUUAUUAAGGGAAAGUCCUCAUCGUCAUCAAUGUCAUUGCCACAUGGACCAUCCGUUUUACAGUGAUUGAGAUUUUGGCGUUUACUUGCAACCAACUUCUGAACCAAGAGCCUCAUAAAUUCUCUGGCACCAACCAGUUCCUCUUUUCUUAUAAAUGCUCUGCCGAGCAAGCUCACUCCACAAUUCUCAAGCAAAGCUAGUCCGAUGGCAGAAAAUUUGAAGACAUGUUGACUCACUUACAAAGAAAACAACUACAUCAGGUGAAAUUUAGUUGAGCAAAAAACUGCAGAAUGAAAGUUUUACAAGACUGAAUAGAUCGUCUAUCCAUGGUGACAACUUGUUUACACUAUGACUAUACUAAAUCAGAUAAGGUAUACUUGCUUCGCAAAUUACACAUACCGCUCAAUGCAGAGAGUAUACACUAAGUGUAGACAUCUUCUUGCUCGAAAGACUGUAAAGAGAAAGGUGACAUCAAUUUCGACAUGCUACAAGACAGAUAUAAGUCAUCUAGAAGGAUCUGGUCACCUAUAUAUCCUUUUUGUAUCUAUAUCGUGUUCAUAGUGGUGAUGAUAGUGGGUCAUCUCAGAGGAUCUAGCCAAUAUGCAUCUGGUGUUAUGGUCCAAGCUUUGGUGGUGGUGGUGAUGGUAAGAUCAUUUCUGAAAAUUCUUGAAAAUGAACGUUUACGCUCUUAAGAGAGAUGUUCGUGUAACUGAAGAUGUACAUAAAAUCCAAAUGAAUUGCAUAAAGCUGGUAUAUUGGGUAUCUUUCGAUUAAUCAAAGUUGAUGCUACUAUUGGAACUUGUAGCGUAAAGAUCCCCACUAUGUGUAGAUCUCAAAACAAGACAGCUGAAGUAAAGGAGAAAAGUCAAGAGUUGGAGCAUGAAAUCAAUUUGUGGAAAGAUCAAAAUGUUUGGCGGACAACUUCUAGUUUCUUAUGUAUAAUUCUUCUUCCAGUAUCAGGUGAUUCAGAUUUCAAAGCCAAUGUAGCUAAGUCGUAAACGAAAAAGUUUCACAUGGAUACUACGACCGGAUUACGCUAUUGACGGAAAUGAAGAUUGAGAUUUUGGCGUUUACUUGCAACCAACUUCUGAACCAAGAGCCUCAUAAAUUCUCUGGCACCAAACCAGUUCCUCUUUUCUUAUAAAUGCUCUGCCGUGCAAGCUCACUCCACAAUUCUCAAGCAAAGCUAGUUCGAUGGCAGAAAAUUUGAAGACAUGUUGACUCACUUACAAAGAAAACAACUACAUCAGGUGAAAUUUAGUUGAGCAAAAAAAUGCAGAGGUUAAAUCGGUGAGAUGUUCCUAAGAAAGAAAGUUUUACAAGACUGAAUAGAUCGUCUAUCCAUGGUGACAACUUGUUUACACUACGACUAUACUAAAUCAGAAAAGGUAUACUUGCUUCGCAAAUUGCACAUACCACUCAUUGCAGAGAGUAUACACUAAGUGUAUAAAAUCAGGACAUCUUUUUGCUCGAAAGUAUUACUUGAGUACAUCUUCAAAUUAAUCAGCGACACUAUCAUAGUAUUUUCUCAAACUGUUUCAGGACUGUAAAGGGAAAGGUGACAUAAAUUUCGACAUGCUACAAGACAGUUACAAGUCAUCUAGAAGAAUCUGGUCACCUAUAUAUCCUUUUUGUAUCUAUAUCAUAAAUAAUGUCUUCGAGACUUUGUCACAACGUCAUUUGCAUAUCGAAACUAAAGUUAUUGUUCUUUCUCAUAUUUGGUGUUCAUAUGUCCAAACUUUGGUGAUGAUAGUGGGUCAUCUCAGAGGAUCUAGCCACAUAUGCAUCUGCUUUGGUGGUGGUGGUGAUGGUAAGAUCAUUUCUGAAAAUUCUUGAAAAUGAACGUUUACGCUCUUAAGAGAGAUGUUCGUGUAACUGAAGAUGUACAUAAAAUCCAAAUGAAUUGCAUAAAGCUGGUAUAUUGGGUACGAUUGUGAACGUGUAAAGAUCCCCACUAUGUGUAGAUCUCAAAACAAGACAGCUGAAGUAAAGGAGAAAAGUCAAGAGUUGGAGCAUGAAAUCAAUUUGUGGAAAGAUCAAAAUGUUUGGCGGACAACAUCUAGUUUCUUAUGUUUAAUUCUUCUUCCAGUAUCAGGUGAUUCAGAUUUCAAAGCCAAUGUAGCUAAGUCGUAAACGAAAAAGUUUCACAUGGAUACUACGACCGGAUUACGCUAUUGAGGGAAAUGAAGUGAGUGUCAAAUACUUUAACAAUAUCCUCCUUCAAUACCUUCGAUAGUGGUGAUCUCGGUCAAUCUGUUGAAUCUCUGGACAUAUUGCAUUCAUUCAUUCAUACGCGCAUACGGCAUACAUAUUCAUGCAUACACGCAUACAUAUUCAUGCAUACACGCAUACAUAUUCUUGCAUACACGCAUGCAUAUUCAUGCAGAUUUGCUUCUUUGAAUAUUUUUCUUUGUUCAUUGCUUCUUUGCAUAUGUGAUUAUUUGUUAACUUGUUUGUUCUUUCCUUCUUUUACUUACUUCGUUACUUUCUUCUUUCCUUGAUUGCUUGUUUUUGAUAAUCCAGUGUCCAGACCACACUGUGAUCCGACUAGCCCACUGGGCCUAAGCCCGCGUUCCUUGGAUUUUUAAGCCUCCACUUAAGGGCCCCUUGGAUCUGGUGGUCUGGGACGCUGCGCCCCGUAGGUAAAUUGCGCAGUGGCCGGGACUCGAAGCCGGGUGGCGGGUGCCUCAGCCGAGGUUCCUAUACCACCAGGAGACAAGCACCCGGUUUUGAUUGCUUGUUUACACUUUACAUGCUUGACUUGUUUAAUUAAUUCCUUACUUUCUUCUAUGAAUUGCUUGUUCUUUGCUUUUUUGAUUUCCCUGUUUAGUGCAUUGCUUGCUUCUCUGCUUCGUCGAUCUCUCUGUUUAGUUCAUUUCUCGCGUCUUUGCUUCUCUGAUGUUGAACUUGUAUAUACUCGUUUAACUUGCUUAUUUCUUUACUGCUUACUUGAUUUGAUUGUGCGUGUCUAACAUGGAUUGAAGUAUUUAUUACAUGUUUUGUUCUUGUUAAUUUAUUGUUAACUUAUUCACACACUUACUGACCUACUACUGUCCAACAUGAUUUUUAAAUUUCAUCUAAUCUUAAAAUAUUUAUUGCGAUUAGCAUUGUUAUAAUCAUUGUUAUAAAUAUUUUUUUAUGAUUACUUGAAUAUUUUCAGCAGUAGAGACUUGAGAGAUUAUGCAGGAUAAUAAAUUUGUAAUGUGAUGUAUGAAUUUCUCGACUCGAUGAUAUUAUGUAAGAAUGAUUAUUUGUUUUAUAUGAAAUAAAUAAGAUUUAUGA
RNA transcript from Arabidopsis lyrata subsp. lyrata, 4404 nucleotides. RefSeq lists it as uncharacterized. The record is from RefSeq and is a predicted model, not a curated record. The transcript is spliced from 22 exons. Lineage: Eukaryota; Viridiplantae; Streptophyta; Magnoliopsida; Brassicales; Brassicaceae.